CUCACUGAGAAGAGCUACUUGGCUGGUGUUCUUUUUUUUGGUGUUGAACGGAUCUCAAUCCUUUUGGUAUUUUCUCAAGAAAAAAUGACUAUCAAGAGCUUCUCCAUUGAUUAUAAUGCGGUCAAUGCAAAAAACACCUUCACGAAUGGGGAUCAUCUGACAGGCCAAAUCACUGUGGAUGUCUCAAAAAAAACCAAAAUCAGGUCUAUUACUCUUUUGGCCAAAGGAAAAACUACUGUGCGUUGGACUGAAAAUUAUGGAAAGUACACAGUGGUUUAUUAUGCCAGUGAGAAAUACUUCAAAAUAGAACAUAAUAUCUUAACAGGCAAUGAUUGUGAUAUCUGUCCAGGUAGACACGUGUUUCCUUUCACAUUCCAAAUUCCUGACAGAAAUAUGCCGAGCACAUUCAAAGCCCAGCGAGGCAGUAUUGUCUACUCAUUACAGGCAAAGUUAAGUAGAUCAAUAAAGAUUCCCAAGAAAGCCAAUAAAAUGUUCACCUUCAUCUCCAAAGCAGACAUGUCUCUUCCUGGACUAAUGGAACCUCAGUAUGCAACCAAGAAUAAAAAAGUUGUGUUCUUUGCAUCUGGAAACAUCACUAUGAACAUUCACACUGAGAGGAUGGGAUACCAGCAAGGCGACGCCUUGAAAGUCACAGCAGAUGUCACAAACAGUUCAACACGCACAGUUAAGCCUAUUUUUUACCUGUAUGAAAAGAAGAGUUUCUUUGCCCAAGGUAAGAGAAGAGUCGACACCCAAAACCUUUUCAAAGAAAAAGGUGAGUCUGUUGCUUCUUCCACCAGACAAACUGUGACCAGAUUCAUCCCCAUCCCUGAAGAACUCCCUCCAACCAUCCUCAACUGCCAAAUACUUAAACUGGAGUACAGACUGAAGGUUGUCCUUGAUAUUGCCCUGACCAGAAACCCUCAGAUAAAACUUCCUAUUGUUGUUCUCCCUGCAACUCCAGCUCUUCUCCAACAACCCCCACUUUACACCCUAAACCAUCAAAUGGAUGGGCCAGCCGCGAAGCUGCUGGAGGCAAACCUCUUAAACAGCACACACUUAUGAUGUAGAUGUGUGUGGUUGACCAUGGGCCAAUAGCAAUGAUGGGUCACUUGCAAAUGUAGUUUUGAACUGCGCAGCUAUCUGCACAUGAGUUCUAAAAAUAAUUUACUAAAUAUUACUGUAGCCUAUCCAUAAUGAAGACAUGACUGCAUUGCCCUACUGAUUGGCACCCAUUUUCCUCAAGAUCACUCUUGACAAUGCUCACAGUCAGUGGAGAUGAUAGUGGACUUCAGGAGAAGCCCAGCUGCCCUUCCCACCAUCGCCCAGGACUUCAAGAGGAAGCUGAACAUCACUUCUCUUACAAAGAAAAGCUCAGCAGGGGAUGUACUUCCUGCUUCCUCCCUUCCUGAAAAAGUUCAACCUGCCAAAGACUAUGAUGGUGCAAUUCUACACUGCCGUCGUGGAGUCCAUCCUGACCUCCUCCCUCACCGUCUGGUACGCUGCAGCCACUGCCAAGGACAAGGGCAGGCUGCAUCAUACGCUCUGCAGAGAGGUUGAUUGGCUGCAAUCUGCCGUCUCUGCAGGACCUACACACCUCCAGGACGCUGUUAGAUUCUGUCAAUUUUUGAACCUUCAUGCCCAAUAUCUGUCAACGCGGAGGCAUGCGGCAAAGAUUGGGGCUGAUCCCUCUCACCCUGUAAAUGGACUGUUCAGAGCUCUCCGGUUGAGGUCUAUCAGGUCCAAAACCCCUCACCACAACAACAGCUUCUUUCCUACAGAAGUAGGCAUCAUGAACAUGCCCCUGUAACCCAAUUGACUAUGGCCCGCUUCCAACACACACAACCCUCAACUGGACACAAUAUUGCACUUGACACAUACCUUUGUUUUUAUUUUUUUAUUAAUGCACACUACAAUUUUAUGCUCAGUCCACUGUUCUUAUUUGUUUUUCUUUUCGUUUAUUCCUUUUGUAUUAAUUGCUGCACCAACAGCCAGAACAAAUUCCUUGUUUGUUGUCAAACAUAGUCCUAUCUCCUAUUACGCUCAGUGGGUAACACACACCAUUGUACAGCGCCAUGAAUCUUACAUUAGAGUUGAAGCUGCUACGUUUAUCCGCUCAUGCACAUCAUCAUCAUCAUCUUCCGCUUAUCCGGGGGCCGCUACGUUCAUCCGCUCAUGCACAAUGACAAUUAAAAGCUUCUCAGUGGACUACCUCAGGAAUAAUGAACAAGGCAUUUUUUCAUCUGGAGAUACCAUCACCGGGAGGAUUUCAUUGGUGGCACUCAAGGAGACCACACUCCAGUCUCUUUGUGUGAAGGUGAAAGGAAAGGCUGAAGUGAAGUGGAUGGAACUUGAUGGGCAAAAUACUGUGGUCUGCAGUGACAAGAAAAAAUACUUUGGUCUACGAAAGGUGCUGCGGGAAGGGAAAGGCGAUGGCUCUGAAAUCAUUACUCCUGGGAGACAUGUUUAUCCAUUCACCUUCCAGAUCCCAGCUAAAGAAAUGCCAUCAUCUUAUGUGGGGAAAUGUGGCAAAAUCACUUAUAGUUUGAAGGCCAAGUUGAUCAGGACCCUUUGGCUGAUAGACAAAGCCAAGACAGAAUUCCCCUUUCUGUCAAAGGCUGAUAUCAUAAUUCCUGGAUUGAGGGAGCCCCAGUAUGGUUCCAAAGUUGUAUUCCUUGCCACUGGAAAUGUCUCAAUAGGCAUUCAUAUUGAGACAAUGGUGUAUCUUCCAGGUGAAGCAAUAGAAGUCCUGAUUGAGAUACACAACAACUCUACACGCACUGUAACACCCAACUUCUCUCUAUAUGAAAAGCAGAGCUUCUUUGCCAAGCAUAAGAGGAAAGUCUACACCCAUGACAUCAUUACAGCAAUAGGAGACCCAGUUCCGGCUGCUACAAGACAGACUGCCACCAAAGUGUUGACUGUCCCUUCACAACUCUCUGUCUCUUUCCUUGACUGCUCCAUAUUAAACCUAGAGUACAUGCUGAAGGUACAUUGAGAUGAGAUUCAUCUCGGUUAUCCAGGAGUAAAAUCAUUUAAACACCCUGCGUUUCCAUGCAGAAUCAAGUGUACAAGAAAUUGGGAUGAUAUACUGAGAAUGAAAGCACAGCACCAGCUAAAUAUGAACACAGGAUUCAGGGUAGUGGGGGGGAGAGAAUUA
RNA transcript from Esox lucius (northern pike), 3160 nucleotides. It is a transcript of the gene named arrestin domain-containing protein 3, with no coding region annotated. The record is from RefSeq and is a predicted model, not a curated record. NCBI's taxonomy places the organism in Eukaryota, Metazoa, Chordata, Actinopteri, Esociformes, Esocidae. The transcript is spliced from 10 exons.